GCUUGCUCCUGGAUUCAGCGGCGGACGGGUGAGUAAUGCCUAGGAAUCUGCCUGGUAGUGGGGGAUAACGUCCGGAAACGGGCGCUAAUACCGCAUACGUCCUGAGGGAGAAAGUGGGGGAUCUUCGGACCUCACGCUAUCAGAUGAGCCUAGGUCGGAUUAGCUAGUUGGUGGGGUAAAGGCCUACCAAGGCGACGAUCCGUAACUGGUCUGAGAGGAUGAUCAGUCACACUGGAACUGAGACACGGUCCAGACUCCUACGGGAGGCAGCAGUGGGGAAUAUUGGACAAUGGGCGAAAGCCUGAUCCAGCCAUGCCGC
RNAcentral lists this ribosomal RNA (319 nucleotides) under Pseudomonas aeruginosa. RNAcentral's name for it is "bacterial SSU rRNA". It matches the Rfam family "Bacterial small subunit ribosomal RNA", at positions 78 to 400 of the family's 1533-position model. Lineage: Bacteria; Pseudomonadati; Pseudomonadota; Gammaproteobacteria; Pseudomonadales; Pseudomonadaceae. The record is from RNAcentral.